GACGAACGCUGGCGGCGUGCUUAACACAUGCAAGUCGAACGGAAAGGCUCCAGUUUGCUGGAGUGCUCGAGUGGCGAACGGGUGAGUAACACGUGGGCAAUCUGCCCUGCACUCUGGGAUAAGCUUGGGAAACUGGGUCUAAUACCGGAUAGGACCUUUCUCCUCAUGGGGUUUGUUGGAAAGUUUUUCGGUGCGGGAUGAGCCCGCGGCCUAUCAGCUUGUUGGUGGGGUAAUGGCCUACCAAGGCGACGACGGGUAGCCGGCCUGAGAGGGUGACCGGCCACAUUGGGACUGAGAUACGGCCCAGACUCCUACGGGAGGCAGCAGUGGGGAAUAUUGCACAAUGGGCGAAAGCCUGAUGCAGCAACGCCGCGUGAGGGAUGACGGCCUUCGGGUUGUAAACCGCUUUCAGUAGGGACGAAGCGCAAGUGACGGUACCGGGAGAAGAAGCACCGGCUAACUACGUG
This 467-nucleotide ribosomal RNA is filed under the name uncultured bacterium. Its description in RNAcentral is "partial 16S ribosomal RNA". It matches the Rfam family "Bacterial small subunit ribosomal RNA", at positions 28 to 507 of the family's 1533-position model. The record is from RNAcentral.